UAGGAUUUGGUGUAAUAUGGUAGCACGAAGAAUUUUGGAUUCUUAGGAUUAGGUUCGAUUCCUAUAGCCCUAG
RNAcentral lists this transfer RNA (73 nucleotides) under Pteronotus rubiginosus. Its description in RNAcentral is "transfer RNA-Gln". It matches the Rfam family "tRNA". From Rfam's summary of the family: Transfer RNA (tRNA) molecules are approximately 80 nucleotides in length. Their secondary structure includes four short double-helical elements and three loops (D, anti-codon, and T loops). Lineage: Eukaryota; Metazoa; Chordata; Mammalia; Chiroptera; Mormoopidae. The record is from RNAcentral.